Molecule: ribosomal RNA, 462 nt
Filed under: uncultured bacterium
Lineage: Bacteria
Description: partial 16S ribosomal RNA
Rfam family: Bacterial small subunit ribosomal RNA
Source: RNAcentral
GAUGAACGCUGACCGAAUGCUUAACACAUGCAAGUCAUUGGCGAAGCUGCGCUUGCGCAGUCUAGCCAAGGCGGACGGGUGAGUAACGCGUAAGGAACUUGCCCUGCAGACAGGGAUAACAGACGGAAACGACUGAUAACACCUGGUAUUGUCAGGCUGGCGCAUGCCGGCCUGAUGAAAGGAGACGCUGCAGGAGAGCCUUGCGUCCUAUUAGCUAGUUGGUGGGGUAACGGCCCACCAAGGCGAUGAUAGGUAGCCGGCCUGAGAGGGUGAACGGCCACAAGGGGACUGAGAUACGGCCCUUACUCCUACGGGAGGCAGCAGGGGGGAAUAUUGGACAAUGGGGGCAACCCUGAUCCAGCAAUUCUGUGUGCACGAAGAAGGUUUUCGGAUUGUAAAGUGCUUUCAGCAGGGAAGAAGAAAGUGACGGUACCUGCAGAAGAAGCGACGGCUAAAUACGUG